AGCAGCCGCGGUAAUUCCAGCUCCAAUAGCGUAUAUUAAAGUUGUUGCAGUUAAAAAGCUCGUAGUUGAAUUUCGGGGUCAGUAGGUUGGUCGUGCCACUGGUAUGCACUGGUCUCACUGAUUCCUCCUUCCUGAUGAGCCGUAAUGCCAUUAAUUUGGUGUUGCGGGGAAUCUGGACUGUUACUUUGAAAAAUUAGAGUGUUUAAAGCAGGCUAACGCUUGAAUACAUUAGCAUGGAACAAUGAAAUAGGACGAUCGAUCCUAUUUUGUUGGUUUCUAAGAUUGACGUAAUGAUUAAUAGGGAUAGUUGGGGGCAUUAGUAUUCAAUUGUCAGAGGUGAAAUUCUUGGAUUUAUUGAAGACUAACUACUGCGAAAGCAUUUGCCAAGGAUGUUUUCAU
RNAcentral lists this ribosomal RNA (399 nucleotides) under uncultured Glomus. RNAcentral describes it as "SSU rRNA". It matches the Rfam family "Eukaryotic small subunit ribosomal RNA", at positions 569 to 973 of the family's 1831-position model. The record is from RNAcentral. Lineage: Eukaryota; Fungi; Glomeromycota; Glomeromycetes; Glomerales; Glomeraceae.